ACCAGCUGACAUGUCCCAAACAGGACCAAGCGCGCGUCCUGGAU
RNAcentral lists this non-coding RNA (44 nucleotides) under Schistosoma curassoni. Lineage: Eukaryota; Metazoa; Platyhelminthes; Trematoda; Strigeidida; Schistosomatidae. The record is from RNAcentral.